This 642-nucleotide ribosomal RNA is filed under the name uncultured bacterium. RNAcentral describes it as "bacterial SSU rRNA". It matches the Rfam family "Bacterial small subunit ribosomal RNA", at positions 335 to 990 of the family's 1533-position model. The record is from RNAcentral.
ACUCCUACGGGAGGCAGCAGUGAGGGAUAUUGCACAAUGGGGGAAACCCUGAUGCAGCGACGCCGCGUGGGUGAUGAAGGCUUUCGGGUCGUAAAACCCUUUUUGGCAUGACGAGAACGGACGGUAGUGCCAGAAUAAGUCUCGGCUAACUACGUGCCAGCAGCCGCGGUAAAACGUAGGAGGCAAGCGUUAUCCGGAGUUACUGGGCGUAAAGGGUGCGUAGGCGGCUCAUCAAGUGGGACGUGAAAGCUCACGGCUAAACUGUGAGAGGACGACUCAGACUGAAGGGCUAGAGGGUGUCAGAGGCGUGCGGAAUUCGGGGUGUAGCGGUGAAAUGUGUAGAGAUCCCGAGGAACACCAGUGGUGCAAACGGCGCGCUGGGACACAACUGACGCUGAAGCACGAAAGCGUGGGGAGCGAACGGGAUUAGAGACCCCGGUAGUCCACGCCGUAAACGAUGUCAACUAGGUGUCUGCAAGGGGAAACCUGAGUGGGUGUCAAAGCUAACGCGAUAAGUUGACCGCCUGGGGAGUACGGUCGCAAGGCUAAAACUCAAAGGAAUUGACGGGGGCCCGCACAAGCAGCGGAGCGUGUGGUUUAAUUCGAGGCUACGCGAAGAACCUUACCUGGGUUUGACAUCAC